Molecule: ribosomal RNA, 411 nt
Filed under: uncultured soil bacterium
Lineage: Bacteria
Description: bacterial SSU rRNA
Rfam family: Bacterial small subunit ribosomal RNA
Source: RNAcentral
AGGACAAACGCUGGCGGCGUGCCUAAAACAUGCAAGUCGAACGGACACUUCGGUGUCAGUGGCGGACGGCUGAGUAACGCGUGGGCAAUCUGCCCAGGAGUGGGGAAUAACCCUCCGAAAGGAGGGCUAAUACCGCAUACGACCACGAGUUUCCGGAUUCGUGAGGAAAGUCGAAAGGCGCUCUUGGAGGAGCCCGCGUCCGAUUAGCUAGUUGGUGUGGUAACGGCGCACCAAGGCUUCGAUCGGUAGCUGGUCUGAGAGGAUGAUCAGCCAGACUGGGACUGCGACACGGCCCAGACUCCGUACGGAGGCAGCAGUUAGGAAUCGUGGGCAAGUGGGACGAAAGCCUAGACCCAGCCAACGGCCGACGUGGGUAGACGAAGGCCGUUCGGUCGUAACGUCCCUUUCCGA